Molecule: ribosomal RNA, 497 nt
Filed under: uncultured bacterium
Lineage: Bacteria
Description: partial 16S ribosomal RNA
Rfam family: Bacterial small subunit ribosomal RNA
Source: RNAcentral
GAUGAACGCUGGCGGCGUGCCUAAUACAUGCAAGUCGAGCGAACAGACGAGGAGCUUGCUCCUCUGACGUUAGCGGCGGACGGGCGAGUAACACGUGGAUAACCUACCUAUAAGACUGGGAUAACUUCGGGAAACCGGAGCUAAUACCGGAUAAUAUAUUGAACCGCAUGGUUCAAUAGUGAAAGACGGUUUUGCUGUCACUUAUAGAUGGAUCCGCGCCGCAUUAGCUAGUUGGUAAGGUAACGGCUUACCAAGGCAACGAUGCGUAGCCGACCUGAGAGGGUGAUCGGCCACACUGGAACUGAGACACGGUCCAGACUCCUACGGGAGGCAGCAGUAGGGAAUCUUCCGCAAUGGGCGAAAGCCUGACGGAGCAACGCCGCGUGAGUGAUGAAGGUCUUCGGAUCGUAAAAUUCUGUUAUUAGGGAAGAACAAAUGUGUAAGUAACUAUGCACGUCUUGACGGUACCUAAUCAGAAAGCCACGGCUAACUACGUG